GAGCGGCGGACGGGUGAGUAAUGCUUGGGAAUAUGCCUUUUGGUGGGGGACAACAGUUGGAAACGACUGCUAAUACCGCAUAAUGUUUACGGACCAAAGCGGGGGAUUCUUCGGAACCUCGUGCCAAAAGAUUAGCCCAAGUGAGAUUAGCUAGUUGGUGGGGUAAUGGCCUACCAAGGCGACGAUCUCUAGCUGGUUUGAGAGGAUGAUCAGCCACACUGGGACUGAGACACGGCCCAGACUCCUACGGGAGGCAGCAGUGGGGAAUAUUGCACAAUGGGGGAAACCCUGAUGCAGCCAUGCCGCGUGUGUGAAGAAGGCCUUCGGGUUGUAAAGCACUUUCAGUCGUGAGGAAAGGGUGUAAGUUAAUACCUUGCAUCUGUGACGUUAGCGACAGAAGAAGCACCGGCUAACUCCGUGCCAGCAGCCGCGGUAAUACGGAGGGUGCGAGCGUUAAUCGGAAUUACUGGGCGUAAAGCGUGCGUAGGCGGUUUGAUAAGCCAGAUGUGAAAUCCCGGGGCUUAACCUCGGAACUGCAUUUGGAACUGUUUGACUAGAGUACUGUAGAGGGUGGUGGAAUUUCCAGUGUAGCGGUGAAAUGCGUAGAGAUUGGAAGGAACAUCAGUGGCGAAGGCGGCCACCUGGACAGAUACUGACGCUGAGGCACGAAAGCGUGGGGAGCGAACAGGAUUAGAUACCCUGGUAGUCCACGCCGUAAACGAUGUCAACUAGCUGUUUGUGUUCUUGAAACGUGAGUAGCGUAGC
RNAcentral lists this ribosomal RNA (765 nucleotides) under Thalassomonas sp. R4M5. RNAcentral's name for it is "bacterial SSU rRNA". It matches the Rfam family "Bacterial small subunit ribosomal RNA", at positions 93 to 852 of the family's 1533-position model. The record is from RNAcentral. Lineage: Bacteria; Pseudomonadati; Pseudomonadota; Gammaproteobacteria; Alteromonadales; Colwelliaceae.